CAUAUGCUUGUCUCAAAGAUUAAGCCAUGCAUGUCUAAGUAUAAGCAAUUAUACAGCGAAACUGCGAAUGGCUCAUUAUAUAAGUUAUCGUUUAUUUGAUAGUACCUUACUACUUGGAUAACCGUGGUAAUUCUAGAGCUAAUACAUGCUAAAAAUCCCGACUCCGGAAGGGAUGUAUUUAUUAGAUUAAAAACCAAUGCCCUCUGGGCUCCUUGGUGAUUCAUGAUAACUCUUCGAAUCGCACGGCCUUGCGCCGGCGAUGGUUCAUUCAAAUUUCUUCCCUAUCAACUUUCGAUGUUUGGGUAUUGGCCAAACAUGGUUGCAACGGGUAACGGAGGGUUAGGGCUCGACCCCGGAGAAGGAGCCUGAGAAACGGCUACUACAUCCAAGGAAGGCAGCAGGCGCGCAAAUUACCCAAUCCCGAUUCGGGGAGGUAGUGACAAUAAAUACUGAUACAGGGCUCUUUUGGGUCUUGUAAUUGGAAUGAGUACAAUUUAAAUCUCUUAACGAGGAACAAUUGGAGGGCAAGUCUGGUGCCAGCAGCCGCGGUAAUUCCAGCUCCAAUAGCGUAUAUUAAAGUUGUUGUGGUUAAAAAGCUCGUAGUUGAACCUUGGGCCUGGCUGGCCGGUCCGCCUCACCGCGUGCACUGGUCCGGCCGGGCCUUUCCCUCUGUGGAACCCCAUGCCCUUCACUGGGCGUGGCGGGGAAACAGGACGUUUACUUUGAAAAAAUUAGAGUGCUUCAGGCAGGCCUAUGCUCGAAUACAUUAGCAUGGAAUAAUGAAAUAGGACGCGUGGUUCUAUUUUGUUGGUUUCUAGGACCGCCGUAAUGAUUAAUAGGGACAGUCGGGGGCAUCAGUAUUCAAUUGUCAGAGGUGAAAUUCUUGGAUUUAUUGAAGACUAACUACUGCGAAAGCAUUUGCCAAGGAUGUUUUCAUUAAUCAGGAACGAAAGUUAGGGGAUCGAAGACGAUCAGAUACCGUCGUAGUCUUAACCAUAAACUAUGCCGACUAGGGAUCGGACGAUGUUAUUUUUUGACGCGUUCGGCACCUUACGAGAAAUCAAAGUGCUUGGGCUCCAGGGGGAG
This 1086-nucleotide ribosomal RNA is filed under the name Cordyceps sp. EFCC 2535. RNAcentral describes it as "SSU rRNA". It matches the Rfam family "Eukaryotic small subunit ribosomal RNA", at positions 25 to 1123 of the family's 1831-position model. The record is from RNAcentral. Lineage: Eukaryota; Fungi; Ascomycota; Sordariomycetes; Hypocreales; Cordycipitaceae.